Molecule: ribosomal RNA, 426 nt
Filed under: uncultured Actinomycetes bacterium
Lineage: Bacteria; Bacillati; Actinomycetota; Actinomycetes
Description: bacterial SSU rRNA
Rfam family: Bacterial small subunit ribosomal RNA
Source: RNAcentral
GCGGCCUAUCAGCUUGUUGGUGAGGUAAUGGCUCACCAAGGCGACGACGGGUAGCCGGCCUGAGAGGGCGACCGGCCACACUGGGACUGAGACACGGCCCAGACUCCUACGGGAGGCAGCAGUGGGGAAUAUUGGGCAAUGGAGGGAACUCUGACCCAGCGACGCCGCGUGCGGGGUGAAGGCCUUCGGGUUGUAAACCGCUUUCAGCAAGGAAGAAGCGAAAGUGACGGUACUUGCAGAAGAAGCACCGGCUAACUAUGUGCCAGCAGCCGCGGUAAUACAUAGGGUGCAAGCGUUGUCCGGAAUUAUUGGGCGUAAAGAGCUCGUAGGUGGUUCGUCACGUCGGAUGUGAAAAUCUGGGGCUUAACCCCAGACCUGCAUUCGAUACGGGCGAGCUAGAGUGUGGUAGGGGAGACUGGAAUUCCU